Molecule: unclassified non-coding RNA, 756 nt
Filed under: Zea mays
Lineage: Eukaryota; Viridiplantae; Streptophyta; Magnoliopsida; Poales; Poaceae
Description: misc RNA Zm00001eb324330
Source: RNAcentral
GCAACGGACCGGCGGUGCCCGCACCUCCGAGGCCACGCCGCCGCCCACCGGCCCCUGUGCCCCUGCUCCCCCAGGCCGGCCCCGCCCGAUGCCGCGGACCAGAUCCGCCGGCCCAGUGGCCAGACAAGGCUGCGGUCGAGCCGCGCCGCCCUUGCAGUUCUUCUCCCGGUCUGCGCCCCCUUCGCCACCGGACGUGCCAAGGCGCGCUGCCGCCGGUCCAUCCCCGCCGGCCAACCUCCACAGACCGCCGGCGACCACGCCAGGGCACCCCGCCGUCGGACCAGAUCCGCGGCAAAGUAACCUGCUGCCGGCCCAGAUCUGUGCCAUCGACCUCAUGGCGGCCUCCUCUCCCUCGCCAGCGCGGAUGGACCGUGGCUGUCCCACCGGCUUCUCCCCUACCUCGGCAGCCUCCCUUGCGUCGGCCCUCUUCUUCCUGCCUCCACAAGCAUGCCAACGCCCUCCCAUGCGCAGCGCCCCCGGCCUUCCUGCGCACCCUGCGUUCCUCUCCCCUGUGUCGGCGUCUUUGCCCGUGCAGCCCCUUGUCAUCACGCUAGCCACCUCCUAAUUGCUCGCGUUGACGCCCCAGCAGCGCCUCCCACUUCAAGCUUCUCCCGGCGCCGGCGCCGUCAUCAUCCCUUGCCAGGUCCGGCGUAGGCCCCUGCCUGGCUGGAACCGCCCCGUCGCCCUCCCCUUCCUCGCCUUCGUUGGAUCCGUCGCUGCCGCGGCCUUCCCGGCCGGAUCCACGUUGCUGCGUCC